This 452-nucleotide ribosomal RNA is filed under the name LMWdDNA-degrading marine bacterium 6. RNAcentral's name for it is "bacterial SSU rRNA". It matches the Rfam family "Bacterial small subunit ribosomal RNA", at positions 12 to 468 of the family's 1533-position model. The record is from RNAcentral.
UUUGAUCCUGGCUCAGAUUGAACGCUGGCGGCAGGCCUAACACAUGCAAGUCGAGCGGUAACAUUUCUAGCUUGCUAGAAGAUGACGAGCGGCGGACGGGUGAGUAAUGCUUGGGAAUAUGCCUUAGGGUGGGGGACAACAGUUGGAAACGACUGCUAAUACCGCAUAACGUCUACGGACCAAAGGGGGCUUCGGCUCUCGCCCUUAGAUUAGCCCAAGUGGGAUUAGCUAGUUGGUGAGGUAAUGGCUCNCCAAGGCGACGAUCCCUAGCUGGUUUGAGAGGAUGAUCAGCCACACUGGAACUGAGACACGGUCCAGACUCCUACGGGAGGCAGCAGUGGGGAAUAUUGCACAAUGGGCGCAAGCCUGAUGCAGCCAUGCCGCGUGUGUGAAGAAGGCCUUAGGGUUGUAAAGCACUUUCAGUAAGGAGGAAAAGGUUAGUAGUUAAUACC